AGGAUGAACGCUGGCGGCGUGCUUAACACAUGCAAGUCGAACGAUGAAGCCGGAGCUUGCUCUGGUGGAUUAGUGGCGAACGGGUGAGUAACACGUGAGUAACCUGCCCUUGACUCUGGGAUAAGCACUGGAAACGGUGUCUAAUACCGGAUACGAGCUUUAGCCGCAUGGCUAGGAGCUGGAAAGAAUUUCGGUCAAGGAUGGACUCGCGGCCUAUCAGGUAGUUGGUGAGGUAACGGCCCACCAAGCCUACGACGGGUAGCCGGCCUGAGAGGGUGACCGGCCACACUGGGACUGAGACACGGCCCAGACUCCUACGGGAGGCAGCAGUGGGGAAUAUUGCACAAUGGGCGCAAGCCUGAUGCAGCAACGCCGCGUGAGGGACGACGGCCUUCGGUUGUAAACCUCUUUAGUAGGAAGAAGCGAAAGUGACGGUACCUGCAGAAAAAGCACCGGCAACUACGUGCCAGCAGCCGCGGU
This 480-nucleotide ribosomal RNA is filed under the name uncultured soil bacterium. RNAcentral describes it as "bacterial SSU rRNA". It matches the Rfam family "Bacterial small subunit ribosomal RNA", at positions 26 to 521 of the family's 1533-position model. The record is from RNAcentral.